GAUGAACGCUGGCGGCGUGCCUAAUACAUGCAAGUCGAGCGAACAGACGAGGAGCUUGCUCCUCUGACGUUAGCGGCGGACGGGUGAGUAACACGUGGAUAACCUACCUAUAAGACUGGGAUAACUUCGGGAAACCGGAGCUAAUACCGGAUAAUAUAUUGAACCGCAUGGUUCAAUAGUUAAAGACGGUUUUGCUGUCACUUAUAGAUUGAUCCGCGCCGCAUUAGCUAGUUGGUAAGGUAACGGCUUACCAAGGCAAAGAUGCGUAGCCGACCUGAGAGGGUGAUCGGCCACACUGGAACUGAGACACGGUACAGACUCCUACGGGAGGCAGCAGUAGGGAAUCUUCCGCAAUGGGCGAAAGCCUGACGGAGCAACGCCGCGUGAGUGAUGAAGGUCUUCGGAUCGUAAAACUCUGUUAUUAGGGAAGAACAAAUGUGUAAGUAACUAUGCACGUCUUGACGGUACCUAAUCAGAAAGCCACGGCUAACUACGUG
This 497-nucleotide ribosomal RNA is filed under the name uncultured bacterium. Its description in RNAcentral is "partial 16S ribosomal RNA". It matches the Rfam family "Bacterial small subunit ribosomal RNA", at positions 28 to 507 of the family's 1533-position model. The record is from RNAcentral.